UGAAACGACUGCUAAGACUGGAUAGGAAAUAAAAAGGCAUCUUUUUAUUUUUAAAAGACCUUUUUCGGAAGGUAUGCUUAAAGAGGGGCUUGCGUCACAUUAGUUAGUUGGCAGGGUAAAGGCCUACCAAGACUAUGAUGUGUAGCUGGACUGAGAGGUUGAACAGCCACAUUGGGACUGAGACACGGCCCAAACUCCUACGGGAGGCAGCAGUAGGGAAUUUUCGGCAAUGGAGGAAACUCUGACCGAGCAACGCCGCGUGAACGAUGAAGUAUUUCGGUAUGUAAAGUUCUUUUAUUGAAGAAGAAAAAAUAGUGGAAAAACUAUCUUGACGAUAUUCAAUGAAUAAGCCCCGGCAAACUAUGUGCCAGCAGCCGCGGUAAUACAUAGGGGGCGAGCGUUAUCCGGAAUUAUUGGGCGUAAAGGGUGCGUAGGCGGUUUAAUAAGUCUAUAGUUUAAUUUCAGUGCUUAACACUGUCCUGCUAUAGAAACUAUUAGACUAGAGUGAGAUAGAGGCAAGUGGAAUUCCAUGUGUAGCGGUAAAAUGCGUAAAUAUAUGGAGGAACACCAGAGGCGUAGGCGGCUUGCUGGGUCUUUACUGACGCUGAGGCACGAAAGCGUGGGGAGCAAACAGGAUUAGAUACCCUGGUAGUCCACGCCGUAAACGAUGAGUACUAAGUGUCGGGAUUACUCGGUACUGAAGUUAACACAUUAAGUACUCCGCCUGAGUAGUACGUACGCAAGUAUGAAACUUAAAGGAAUUGACGGGACUCCGCACAAGCGGUGGAUCAUGUUGUUUAUUCGAAGAUACACGAAAAACCUUACCAGGUCUUGACAUACUCUGCAAAGCUAUAGCAAUAUAGUGGAGGUUAUCAGGGAUACAGGUGGUGCAUGGUUGUCGUCAGCUCGUGUCGUGAGAUGUUAGGUUAAGUCCUAAAACGAGCGCAACCCUUGUCAUUAGUUGCCAGCAUGUCAUGAUGGGCACUUUAAUGAGACUGCCAAUGAAAAAUUGGAGGAAGGUGAGGAUCACGUCAAAUCAUCAUGCCCCUUAUGAUCUGGGCUACAAACGUGAUACAAUGGCUGUUACAAAGAGUAGCUGAAACGCAAGUUUAUAGCCAAUCUCAUAAAAGCAGUCUCAGUUCGGAUUGAAGUCUGCAACUCGACUUCAUGAAGUUGGAAUCGCUAGUAAUCGCGAAUCAGCAUGUCGCGGUGAAUACGUUCUCGGGGUUUGUACACACCGCCCGUCAG
This 1248-nucleotide ribosomal RNA is filed under the name Candidatus Phytoplasma cynodontis. RNAcentral's name for it is "bacterial SSU rRNA". It matches the Rfam family "Bacterial small subunit ribosomal RNA", at positions 152 to 1400 of the family's 1533-position model. The record is from RNAcentral. Lineage: Bacteria; Bacillati; Mycoplasmatota; Mollicutes; Acholeplasmatales; Acholeplasmataceae.